RNAcentral lists this ribosomal RNA (680 nucleotides) under uncultured Pseudomonadota bacterium. RNAcentral's name for it is "bacterial SSU rRNA". It matches the Rfam family "Bacterial small subunit ribosomal RNA", at positions 72 to 748 of the family's 1533-position model. Lineage: Bacteria; Pseudomonadati; Pseudomonadota. The record is from RNAcentral.
CGCGGGGGCAACCCUGGCGGCGAGCGGCGAACGGGUGAGUAAUACAUCGGAACGUGUCCAGUAGUGGGGGAUAACCAGUCGAAAGAUUGGCUAAUACCGCAUACGAUCUACGGAUGAAAGCGGGGGACCGCAAGGCCUCGCGCUAUUGGAGCGGCCGAUGUCGGAUUAGCUAGUUGGCGGGGUAAAAGCCCACCAAGGCGACGAUCCGUAGCUGGUCUGAGAGGACGAUCAGCCACACUGGAACUGAGACACGGUCCAGACUCCUACGGGAGGCAGCAGUGGGGAAUUUUGGACAAUGGGGGCAACCCUGAUCCAGCCAUGCCGCGUGAGUGAAGAAGGCCUUCGGGUUGUAAAGCUCUUUCGGCGGGGACGAAACGGUCCGUGACAACACCACGGACUAAUGACGGUACUCGCAGAAGAAGCACCGGCUAACUACGUGCCAGCAGCCGCGGUAAUACGUAGGGUGCAGGCGUUAAUCGGAAUUACUGGGCGUAAAGCGUGCGCAGGUGGCUCCUUAAGUCAGAUGUGAAAUCCCCGGGCUUAACCUGGGAACUGCGUUUGAAACUGGGGAGCUAGAGUGUGGAAGAGGGGGGUGGAAUUCCAGGUGUAGCAGUGAAAUGCGUAGAUAUCUGGAGGAACACCGAUGGCGAAGGCAGCCCCCUGGGCUAACACUGACGCUC